RNAcentral lists this ribosomal RNA (560 nucleotides) under Candidatus Liberibacter asiaticus. RNAcentral's name for it is "bacterial SSU rRNA". It matches the Rfam family "Bacterial small subunit ribosomal RNA", at positions 55 to 652 of the family's 1533-position model. The record is from RNAcentral. Lineage: Bacteria; Pseudomonadati; Pseudomonadota; Alphaproteobacteria; Hyphomicrobiales; Rhizobiaceae.
UUGCCAAUCAUAAGAUUAGCGUGUAUCGCAAUACGAGCGGCAGACGGGUGAGUAACGCGUAGGAAUCUAAAAAAUCUGCGGGAUAACGCAUGGAAACGUGUGCUAAUACCGCAUACGCCCUAUUGGGGGAAAGAUUUUAUUGGAGAGAGAUGAGCCUGCGUUGGAUUAGCUAGUUGGUAGGGUAAGAGCCUACCAAGGCUACGAUCUAUAGCUGGUCUGAGAGGACGAUCAGCCACACUGGGACUGAGACACGGCCCAGACUCCUACGGGAGGCAGCAGUGGGGAAUAUUGGACAAUGGGGGCAACCCUGAUCCAGCCAUGCCGCGUGAGUGAAGAAGGCCUUAGGGUUGUAAAGCUCUUUCGCCGGAGAAGAUAAUGACGGUAUUCGGAGAAGAAGCCCCGGCUAACUUCGUGCCAGCAGCCGCGGUAAUACUAAUUUUUUUGAGCGUUGUUCGGAAUAACUGGGCGUAAAGGGCGCGUGGGCGGGCGAUUAAGUUAGAGGUGAAAUCCCAGGGCUCAACCUUGGAACUGCCUUUAAUACUGGUUGUCUAGAGUUUAGG